UACGUAGGGGGCAAGCGUUACCCGGAUUUACUGGGCGUAAAGCGCGUGUAGGCGGCUGGCCAAGCGUGGUGUGAAAUCUCCAGGCUCAACCUGGAAACUGCAUUGCGAACUGGUCUGGCUGGAGUGCAGGAGAGGGAUGCGGAAUUCCCGGUGUAGCGGUGAAAUGCGUAGAUAUCGAGAGGAACACCUGCGGCGAAGGCGGGUUGCUGGGCUGACACUGACGCUGAGGCGCGAAAGCCAGGGGAGCGAACGGG
This 254-nucleotide ribosomal RNA is filed under the name uncultured bacterium. RNAcentral describes it as "partial 16S ribosomal RNA". It matches the Rfam family "Bacterial small subunit ribosomal RNA", at positions 524 to 776 of the family's 1533-position model. The record is from RNAcentral.